AUGGAGUUGAUCGUUUUCAUAGUGAUUCAGCUCCUGAUGGAGGUUCAGUCCUACACAUCUCCUAGUGUAAAAGUAUCUCCAGAUGUCAUAAGAGAGUCCAGCUCAGUGAAGAUCAGCUGUGAGACACCAGCAGAUGUUCCUGUGAAUCAGUGUUACUUCUACAUAAACAGUGAGGAGAAGAAUGUAAAACCCAGUUGGAGAUGUGAGCUGGAUCUCACUGGUGCUGAAGUGUUCAGAUGGGCAGCUAUAAAAUCACCUGGAUCACUCAACAUUAUCUGUUACUACACAAUACAGGGGAUUGAUAAAACAUUCAAUCAUUCUCCUCCUGCCACAGUGACGGUUCGAGGUGAGAAAUUUCAGCCUGGUUUCAUUGUUUGUAUGUAGGUAUUUUAAGUCCUGCUGUAAGUUCUGCUUUAAUUAUAAUGUUAGCGGAAGACCAGAUUAACCAACUGAGGAAUAGCAUUAGUUCGGCAGAACUUGAUUUGCAUUCGUUGAAGCAAUAGACUGCUGUGGAGUAGUCACAAUGGAAGAAAAUACUUUGGAGGCCCAUCUUUCAACCACAGGUUAGUGGACAUGAUGGGUGUGUGUAUAUUAAUUAGCCCGAACCAAGCAGACCAUUUCCAGAAUAAGCAGAAGAAAAUGCUUUACACGCAGCCCAUGCAUGUACAUGUCCGAGAGAGAUGUGGUAGUGCUGAUUUUACUUGCUGAUUUAAUAUAUUUAGUAUAAAGAUCUCAAAUUAUUAUUGAACACAUUUCAAUAUUAUUUUCCUUUAAUCAUUUCUUGCACAAAGCAUCUGUGACAUUAACAUAUGAAUAUUCAUACAGUGGUUUAAUAAUAUCAUAUUGUGGACUUCAAAAGUGUAUGUCAUAAACAAUUUGUAGAAUUCUGCCAGAAGAAGCAGCCAUGACGAACAACCAAUUUAUACAGAAGCAGCUAAUAACCAACUAAACUGGAAUUCAUGAAUGGAAUUCCAAGCAAGCAAUUUCAUGAUGCACAGUAGUGUUGUAAAAAAUAACCGACUUCGGGACCAGACCAGUCGGUACUGAAAUGUAAAAAAUGUCCAUUUCCUGCUAGCAUUUGAGCACUGUUGAGCGGAUUCUUAAACACAGCUGUGUGGCCAUUGUGUUCAUGGCAUGCACCAUUGUAUGCAUUAAUUAGGUCUUUGUCAGGCCAAGUUUCAGUUAUUCUGGAAACAGAUAAAGUUCCGCUGAACUGUAAUAAUGAAAAUCAGAAUACAGAGAUGUGAGCUCAUGGUGUCAGCUCUCACUCACUGGAUCUCAGAUCAGUAUUUGUUCUGAAGGUCAGACUUGAUCUGUGGAAAUAACUUGUUUCUACACUGUAAAGAAGAGAAGUUCAAAAAGGAAGUUCAAAAAUGGUCUCCUCACUCUGAUCCAGUGAAAGUAAGGGUGCUUUCACACCUGCCUCAUUUAGUUCGGUUGAAUCGUACCAGAUUUCGUUUCCCCCUUUGGUGCGGUUCGUUUGGGCAGGUGUGAAAGCAGCAAUCGCAAUCGGGUGCGCACCAAAUGUGGACCAAACAAGCGUACCGAGACCUGCUUGAAGAGGUGGUCUCGGUACGCUUUCAAACGAACUCUGGAGCGGUUCGUUUGUGGUGAGAACGUGAUCCGGCCUCGAACAGACCCAACUGCAAAAAGUACUGAUCAUUUUUGGACUAAACCAGCUGCCGUAGUCAGCUGUGCUGUGCAUUAUGGGAUGAGGAAGUGUUUGUUGACAGUUUGCACUUUAGCAUGGCAGCUCGUGGAUUAAUGCAUGCCUCCGCUUGAAGUUACGAGCGAUGCCUGCUCGCCGUUUGCAGUGCAUUAGAACGUUGUUUUCAAGCCGCAUCCGCGCUUCAUUAUAGAAAUUAAUUGUUUGCAUAUUGUGGUGUAUACAAACAAUGUAAUAGAUUAUGGCCAGGGACAAAACCAUCCCGCUCAGUCAGGGACGGACUGGGACUAAAAAACGGCCCUGGACUUUGACUAGGCCCGGCCCAAAGCAAUCGGCGUGCGGCCUGGCAUGAGUGUCACAAGACUUUAAUUGUGGCUCAUGAUACUAUACCAUCCAAAUUAUAGCAAUAGCACUGAUGUUGACUAGAUGUUGAGCUGGAGUGGGUGUCUUUCUCUGCUCUUGGUCUAAGCUCAACCCGAAUAAACAAAUGAUGGAAUGGAUUAAAAAAAAAAAA
Long non-coding RNA from Cyprinus carpio (common carp), 2180 nucleotides. Lineage: Eukaryota; Metazoa; Chordata; Actinopteri; Cypriniformes; Cyprinidae. The record is from Ensembl.